GAGAGAGAAAGGGAGGGAACAUCAAUGGCUACCGCCUGUAGUAGCGAGGAGGACUGGCCUUCCUUGUGAGCUGGUGUGGUGAAACCUCCAAUGUCGAUCUCAGAAGGCGACAAAAUAAUAAUGCGUUUUCAGUUUCUAAACUCACUGAACAGUUAACUAACUAGUAAGGAUAUUUCACCUCACGAAACGACGUACUUUUCUCAACGGCAGCAACGAAGUCUUCAAAGUUGAUUGAAGUGUAGUCUCCUCUUCGACACGGCGACUCUAACCGUAAUUCUUCCGGAAAACAAUACAAGAAACCUCACUUACACUUCGACAUAAACUUGCAGUUAUUCAAACUAUAUUAACAUUUCCUUUCUGUUUACUUUCAAUAACGUGGGAGCUCUCCAGGCGCCGCCAUUUUCUUCCUUCUCGUCAUUUUCUGUGUUCCUCCCCGUCUCUCCCAGUCCCACCCCCUCCGUACUCCCGAUUGGGCAGUGCACCCACUUUGCAAAUCACUGAUUGGCUGGCCUAUUGCCCUGUCCUGUGGCGCUAUUGGGUGUUGAUUUUAAAGAGGAGAUUUCACUAAAGUCAUUGCAUAUAAAUAAACAUGUCCACACUCUAGGUGUACCACUACACAUAAAACAGUAUUGUCUGCCUUUGUGUCCCUACAAGACCUUUCUCGUCAAGAACACAUGGAAAGAAUGUUCUGCCCAAGAACAUAACAACAUUCUUGCAUUCUUUGUAUUGAGAGCAUACAUUGUUCAGCUGCUAAUUGGUUGAAUCAGGUGGGCCAAAUUUGGGUUGAAAUGAAAAUCUACAGGAUGGCAGAUCUCCAGGAACAGGGUUGGCCAACCCUGAUCUUGCAUAUUGCAUAAAAUAAAAAGGAGAAGCUUAUUUAUUUAACUAACAGUUGAUUUAAUUCUCACCUACUUGAAUUCCAGCCUCAACCAUUAGAGGAGCUGACUGUGGAACAGCUACCAGAUGAUAUGGAAAUCGAACCAGAUGAGCAAACCGAUGCCUUCACAGCCUACUUUGCUGAUGGCAACAAGCAACAAGACCGGGAACCUGUGUUUUCUGAGGAGCUUGGCAUAGCUAUUGAGAAGCUGAAAGAUGGCUUUACUCUUCAAGGACUCUGGGAAGUUAUGGGUUGUUAAUUUCAGAAUGCUUGCUUUCAUAGUAUUGACAUUGUAGCAUUGAUGGAGUAAUUUAAUGCUAGGGAGGUAUUGGACAGUAGAAAUAAACAUGUGAAAUAAACAACUGUGUUCUUAAACUUUAUGGUUAGAUUAAUGUAAGUAAUAACAACAAUACAAAUUAUAAUAAUAAUAAUCAAAAUAUAAUAUUUAAUAUUAUUAAGGAGUAACCUGGUGGUUGGUCACACGUUCAAGGUUUUUAUUUGCAAUUUGCACAAGAGGGCAUUGGAAAAUGGAAUGGAAUGCUCUGAGUGAUAGUACGACCUAUGUACGUCCUAGACUCAUGUUACAGAGUGGAGUAAUUGUAGAUGCAAUGAGAUAAGAAAAUCCAUCCGUCCAUCCAUUAUCUUAACCCGCUUAUCCUGAACAGGGUCGCAGGGGGGCUGGAGCCUAUCCCAGCAUUCAUUGGGCGAAAGGCAGGAAUACAGCCUGGACAGGUAGCCUGUCCAUCGCAGGGCACACACACUCAUUCACUUAUUCACUCACACACUCACACACUCACACACUCACACACUCAUACCCACGGGCAAUUUAGACUCUCCAAUCAGCCUAACCUGCAUGUCUUUGGACUGUGGGAGGAAACCGGAGUACCCAGAGGAAAUCCACACGACCACGGGGAGAACAUGCAAACUCCACACAGAGAGAUCCCGGCAGACCGGGAUUCGAACCCAGGACCUCCUUGCUGUGAGGCGGCAGUGCUACCCUCUGCACCAUCCAUGCCGCCGACAUAAGAAAAUGGAAAGACAAAACAGGAUUAUGAGACUGAAUUUCAACCUCAUCAAUGUCUACACCAAAGCUUAAUACCAAGUCUAAUGUAUGAAAUGUAAAGCCAGCUUGAUUCGUUAAACUCACCUAAUAUCACCACUUUGUCAUAGCUUAUAACUAAGUGAGAGAGAAAUUCUGAAAAUUCAUGAAUAAAGCCAGAGUAAGGGCCAGGAGGUCUGUAAACUGUCACCAGGGCAGUAGGCUGGGAAAAAAGGUGGGCACCACCAGUAUCUUGCUGGGAGAGAUAAUGACUAAUACUUCAAAUGAAUCAAAUUCAGGUUUUGGGAUUGGAUGAAUGAAGUGAUUUCACAUAACAGCCCCCUCAUUGACAGAGACCGGGGUUUUGAGUAUACACUCAGUGGGCACCUCAUUAGGUAUUUAUUAGACUUUUUUACUCUUAUUAAGUCUUCUGCUGCUGUAGCCUAUCUACUUAGAAGUUUGAUUUGGUUUGUGUUUAGAGAUGCUCUUUUGCUUACAACUGUUGUAAUAUGUCGUUAUUUUCGUUACUGCCACCUUCCUGUCAGCUUCACCAGUCUGGCCCUUCUCCUCUGAUCCCAUUCUGAAAUUUGGUCUGAAAAACAGCUGCACCUCUUGACCAUGUCUACAUGCUUUUAUGCAUUUAUUUGGUGCCAGAUGAUAUUUGCAUUAACAAGCUGGUGUACAGGUCUACCUAAUAAAGUGAUCACUGAGUAUAUAUGAAACCAGGUGGAGACGAUUCAUUUAAAGUUAAAUUCUUGUCUGUUUUCAGCCAGGUUUCAGUGAGACAUACAGACGUGGUCAAAUUUGUUGGUACCCUUACAGCUCAUUGAAAUAAUGCUUCAUUCCUCCUGAAAAGUGAUUCUAUUAAAAGUUAUUUUUUCAUGUAUACUUGCAUGCCUUGGGUUUGUCAUUGAAUAAAGCUGUGAAAAGAGUUGAAUUAUUGCUUAUUCUACUAUUCUACCCAAAUAUUCUAAAAUGGCCUGGACAUUUGUUGGUACCCCUUAGACAAGAUCAUAAAUAAUUGGAUUAUAGUGAUAUUUCAAACUAAUUUGUUCAUUUAAUUAGUAUCACACGUCUGCAAUCUUGUAAUCUGUCAUUCAGCCUAUUUAAAUGGAGAAAAGUAGUCACUGUGCUGUUUGGUGUCAUUGUGUGCACCAUACUGAACAUGGACCAGAGAAAGCAAAGGAGAAAGUUGUCUGAGGAGAAAAGAAAAAAAAAAUCGACAAGCAUGGUAAAGGUAAAGACUAUCUCCAAGCAGCUUGAUGUUCCUGUGACAACAGUUGCAAAUAUUAAGAAGUUUAAGGUCCAUGGAACUGUAACCAACCUCCCUGCGUGGCCGCAAAAGGAUAAUUGCCCCCAGAUCGAACAGAAGGAUAGUGUGAAUGGUAGAAAAAGAACCAAGAACCAACUGCCAAAGAGAUACCUUCACCUUGGAGUUACGCUUGUAUGUCAGUUUCUAAGUUUAUAAGAAGAAAACAUUGGACUAUUCUGAAGUGGCCUUCUAUGAGUCCUGAUCUAAAUCGUAUCGAAAAUCUAUGAAAAGAACUGAAACUUGCAGUCUGGAGAAUACCUGUUAACAGGCUCAGAAGUCUCAUUGAGAGUUACAGAAAGCGUUUGAUUGCAGAGUUAAGGGUCCCAUCAUUUUUGUCCAUGCCAAUUUCAUUUGUUUUAUUAUUUACAAUAUUAUGUUGAAUUAAAAAUCGAAAGCAAAGUCUGAUUUCUAUUAAAUAUGGAAUAAACAAUGGUGGAUGCCAAUUACUUCUGUAAGUUUCAAGUUAUUUCAGAGAAAAUUGUGCAUUCCUCAAUUUCUUGUGGAAGGGUACCAACAAAUUUAAUAAAUCAAGACAAUAAUCUGAGAUUAGUUCAUUCACAAGAGCUGCUUUAGAGUAAUUUGAUUUAGUAAUCUAAAUUUGAGAGAAGUAUUACUAGCCUAGCAAUAAUUAAGGCUGUGUAUUUGUCACAGAAAAAAUUUAGAAUAUUUUUUAAAAAUUAACCAAUAUCUCACGCAAAGCAGUGGGAAAUGAUUGAAAUAACAUGCUCAACCAUAUUGACAGUAAAAGUGUUUGAAGUUUCAAAGAAUCAUUGCCUCUAGUAAAAAAAUAUGUGUAGGCUGAAUGCAUUGAUAUGCUGUCUUUCAUGGAAAUACAUGCUAUUUGCUUUUAGCAGAACAUUGUUCGAAACAGAGCAUGAAAUAAUAAUAAUAAAAUAAUCUGAAUCUGAAAAAUCGAACAAUAUCAAGAUGAAAAAAAGGUUAACUGAUUUUUAAGAGAUGUCAAACACUGAAUGGGGUCAAAUUGAUCCAAAAUAUAAUGGGAGGGUCAAUCUGCUUCAUUCAUAAAAUGUGGUACGUAGCGUUACAGACUCGCUAAUUACCUGGCUCAUUAUCUAAUAUGUGUGUAUGAGAAAUAGGACUGUAACCUGCUGUUAGUGCCAUGUACAGAGAAAAAAUCUUAACAAAAUUAAAACUGGCACCGGAUGACCCACUGAAGGGAUAGAGCUUGCCUGUUACCUUUGGGCUAUGACUCUAGGCAUCGGUCUAGUCCAACUCCACCUUCCCUGCAUCAGCAGCCAAUUCUUUGUUCACAUUAAGGUUUUUUAUAGUUUCAUUUUUUCCCAUAACCAGUGUGUGGAGGCAACCUGCAGUGAAGGAAACAAAAGUCCUUCAAAAAAAGUUAAUGGCAUUGAUGUCCUUUGCGGUGUGUUUUAUAGUGUUUUAUUCCUUUUGUUCCACAGAUAAGCAUAUACACUCACCGAGCACUUUAUUCGGAACAUUUUUACUUAAUUGCAUGAAUAUGUAGGUAUAAUAAUCAGCCAAUUGUGUGGAAGCUGUGCAAUGCAUACAAUUAUGUAGAUACGGGUCAGGAGCUUCAGUUAAUGUUCACAUCAACCAACAGAAUGGGGAAAAAUGUGAUCUAAGUGACUUUGACCGUGGAAUGAUUGUUUGUGGCAGACAGGCUAGGCUGGUUUGUGUAUCUCAGAAAUUGGAUUGAGGAAUGGUGAAUAGGGUGGGUGGAACAGCAUUGCAAUCCUUUGAAGGGAAGGGUAUUUUCACACUAAUAGAGAUUGUUGGUGGCAGACAGGGUGGUUUGAGUAUCUCAGAAAUUGCUGAUCUUGGGGGUCAUGCAUGAAAACCUGUGGGGCGAUAAGUCUGAAGACGGAAGAUGAAAUUUAUGCUAACGUAGAUAUAUUGUCAAAAUAUGCUUGGAUUUGUCUUCUAAAGACCAAGAGUGGUACCAUGGUGACUAGGGUUUCCAAAAGCUGAUGAAGCAUCACAACAUAACACAUUUUGCCACUGGUAACGAUGUGAAAGUUUCAGGGGUUGAACGGGUUAACUGGGCCCUAAAAACAAGAAUGCGGCGUUACUUUGCAGUGCAUAACACACUAUGCUAUAUAGACAAUGUACAAGAUAUGGUCCGGUCAAACAAUAACAGCUAUCACGGUACAAUUAAAAUGAAGCCUGCAGAAGUAAAUGAUACUAACGCUUUUAAAGUGUUUAAAAAUAUGUACAGGCUCUUUCCAAAAAGACCUAAAAAGCUAAAGUUUAAGUUUGAGGAGGGUGAUACAGUUCGAGUUUCCACAUUGUGUGGGAAGUUUGCAAAAGGCUAUAAGCAAACCUAUACAGACAAAUAUUUCACAGUUGCUGAAUGGGUCCACAGAAUUCCAUUUAUAUAAAUUGAGGGAUUAUGAUGGUGAAAACAUUGAUGGAACAUUUUAUGAGGAUCCUCAUUUAAUGCCAUUAAAUGAGGAGGAAUUAUAGAAGGUUACAGUGGAUAAAGACAGGACAUUUAAGGUUGAAAAUAGUUGCGGAGAAGAAGCAGAGGUUGAAAGGGCUGGUUUUGGUCAAGUAGGUAGGUUGGCUGGAGAAGUUCAAUAGUUGGGUAGCAGCAAGUCACGUGGUUGAAAUUGUCUUAAUUGAUUCUUAAUUUAUCCUCAAUGCGUGUUAACAUAAAGACAAUCACGAUUACAAAUAACAUUUUUGUGUAAAUCCUUAUUACUAUUAGACCAAUUUCUGAAUUAAGUGCUUACGAGGAGUGUUUAUCUGUCUCUCUCCCAGCAGACAUACAAACUUUGACAUUAAUGGCUUCUCCUGAAAGGGGGUAGCUAGCACAUUCUGGUCUUACAGCAAGGUCAACAAGGGGUACUCAGAAGACAAAAUACUGAUCAAUGUUCGUGGCCAGCUUUAUGUCUUUUUGUUUUGGUAAAGCCCCCCCUCCUGGAAAAGUGUAUAAGAGGCUUACUAUGUCUGAUUCAAAUCAGAAAGCCUCACUUUCUGUUAUUUAUUUGCAAAUAAAUAUGAAAGUUAAACUCAA
Long non-coding RNA from Conger conger (European conger), 6226 nucleotides. RefSeq lists it as uncharacterized. The record is from RefSeq and is a predicted model, not a curated record. The transcript is spliced from 3 exons. Lineage: Eukaryota; Metazoa; Chordata; Actinopteri; Anguilliformes; Congridae.